AUUGAACGCUGGCGGAAUGCUUUACACAUGCAAGUCGAGCGGCAGCGCGGCCUUCGGGCUGGCGGCGAGCGGCGAACGGGUGAGUAAUGCAUCGGAACGUGCCCAGUCGUGGGGGAUAACACUUCGAAAGAAGUGCUAAUACCGCAUACGUCCUGAGGGGGAAAGCGGGGGAUCGCAAGACCUCGCGCGAUUGGAGUGGCCGAUGUCAGAUUAGCUAGUUGGUGGGGUAAAGGCCUACCAAGGCGACGAUCUGUAGCUGGUCUGAGAGGAUGAUCGGCCACACUGGGACUGAGACACGGCCCAGACUCCUACGGGAGGCAGCAGUGGGGAAUUUUGGACAAUGGGGGCAACCCUGAUCCAGCCAUUCCGCGUGAGUGAAGAAGGCCUUCGGGUUGUAAAGCUCUUUCGGCAGGAACGAAACGGUGGGCUCUAACAUAGUCCGCUAAUGACGGUACCUAAAGAAGAAGCACGGGCUAACUACGUG
RNAcentral lists this ribosomal RNA (484 nucleotides) under uncultured bacterium. RNAcentral's name for it is "partial 16S ribosomal RNA". It matches the Rfam family "Bacterial small subunit ribosomal RNA", at positions 29 to 507 of the family's 1533-position model. The record is from RNAcentral.